Molecule: transfer RNA, 71 nt
Filed under: Coleoptera sp. 1 KM-2017
Lineage: Eukaryota; Metazoa; Arthropoda; Insecta; Coleoptera
Description: tRNA-Lys
Source: RNAcentral
CAUUAAGUGGCUGAAGUGUAAGCACCGGUCUCUUAAACCGUAUUAUAGUAUAUUAACAUUUACUCUUAAUG